This 1269-nucleotide ribosomal RNA is filed under the name Klebsiella pneumoniae. Its description in RNAcentral is "partial 23S ribosomal RNA". It matches the Rfam family "Bacterial large subunit ribosomal RNA", at positions 1680 to 2925 of the family's 2925-position model. The record is from RNAcentral. Lineage: Bacteria; Pseudomonadati; Pseudomonadota; Gammaproteobacteria; Enterobacterales; Enterobacteriaceae.
ACCAAGGCGCUUGAGAGAACUCGGGUGAAGGAACUAGGCAAAAUGGUGCCGUAACUUCGGGAGAAGGCACGCUGGUGUGUAGGUGAAGUCCCUGCGGAUGGAGCUGAGACCAGUCGAAGAUACCAGCUGGCUGCAACUGUUUAUUAAAAACACAGCACUGUGCAAACACGAAAGUGGACGUAUACGGUGUGACGCCUGCCCGGUGCCGGAAGGUUAAUUGAUGGGGUUAUCCGUAAGGAGAAGCUCUUGAUCGAAGCCCCGGUAAACGGCGGCCGUAACUAUAACGGUCCUAAGGUAGCGAAAUUCCUUGUCGGGUAAGUUCCGACCUGCACGAAUGGCGUAAUGAUGGCCAGGCUGUCUCCACCCGAGACUCAGUGAAAUUGAACUCGCUGUGAAGAUGCAGUGUACCCGCGGCAAGACGGAAAGACCCCGUGAACCUUUACUAUAGCUUGACACUGAACAUUGAGCCUUGAUGUGUAGGAUAGGUGGGAGGCUUUGAAGCGUGGACGCCAGUCUGCGUGGAGCCAACCUUGAAAUACCACCCUUUAAUGUUUGAUGUUCUAACGUUGGCCCCUGACCGGGGUUGCGGACAGUGUCUGGUGGGUAGUUUGACUGGGGCGGUCUCCUCCCAAAGCGUAACGGAGGAGCACGAAGGUUAGCUAAUCCUGGUCGGACAUCAGGAGGUUAGUGCAAUGGCAUAAGCUAGCUUGACUGCGAGCGUGACGGCGCGAGCAGGUGCGAAAGCAGGUCAUAGUGAUCCGGUGGUUCUGAAUGGAAGGGCCAUCGCUCAACGGAUAAAAGGUACUCCGGGGAUAACAGGCUGAUACCGCCCAAGAGUUCAUAUCGACGGCGGUGUUUGGCACCUCGAUGUCGGCUCAUCACAUCCUGGGGCUGAAGUAGGUCCCAAGGGUAUGGCUGUUCGCCAUUUAAAGUGGUACGCGAGCUGGGUUUAGAACGUCGUGAGACAGUUCGGUCCCUAUCUGCCGUGGGCGCUGGAGAAUUGAGGGGGGCUGCUCCUAGUACGAGAGGACCGGAGUGGACGCAUCACUGGUGUUCGGGUUGUCAUGCCAAUGGCACUGCCCGGUAGCUAAAUGCGGAAGAGAUAAGUGCUGAAAGCAUCUAAGCACGAAACUUGCCCCGAGAUGAGUUCUCCCUGAGACUUUAAGUCUCCUGAAGGAACGUUAAAGACGAUGACGUUGAUAGGCCGGGUGUGUAAGCGCAGCGAUGCGUUGAGCUAACCGGUACUAAUGAACCGUGAGGCUUAACCUU